AUGGCCGGUGACCGCCGCGGCGGGUCGCCCACGGUGGAGCGCCGGCGGGGGAUCCGGCGCCUCCUGCUGCCCCGCGGGGAGGUCUCCUCGUCCUCCUCGCCCUCGGUGCCGCUGCCUCCGCCGGCCGCAGCCGAGGUGGGGCGGAGGAAGAGCUUCGCCUCCGCGGCGCUGCGCGGGCUGGGCUGCACGUCGGCCGCGGCCUCGCAGGCGUACGCGCCAGGGGCGGGCUCCGCGGCUGCGGCGGCCGUGCGGUCGUCCGCCGACUGGCACGGGCGAAGGAAGAAAGGGAAGGACAGGAGGAAGGAGAGGGGAGGAGGUGGAGGAGGCGGCCUUGUGGGCGGAGGGAUCGGCGGCGACGUGUGGUGCGCCCCGGGGAUACCGUUCGCCGCGGAGGCGUCGUCCGUGGACUGCGUGGUGGCGCGCCACCAGAUGCUGGGGAGGGGGCGCGGCGGCGACGCCGAGAGGCCGCACAGAGAGCGGCCCUGCCUGUCCCGGAGGGCGAGCAUGCAGGAGCAGAUAUCGUCGUCGUUCAUGGAGUCGCCGCCGCCGCCGCCGCCGGCGCACCUGGACGGGCCCUUCUUCGGCGCCGACCUGCUCCCCUCCGCGCGCCUCCGCCGGAUGCGCGGGUACCGCCCCUCCCCCGGCGGCCUCGAAGAAGAGAUCAUGAUGUUUCAGACAAGAGUGUUGUUGGGAGGAAUGAACAUGUAUGAUCGGUACCAGGAUUGGCGCCUUGAUGUCGACAACAUGACUUAUGAGGAGUUGCUUGAGCUUGGAGAAAGAAUAGGGCAUGUCAACACAGGGCUACGCGAGGAUGAGAUAGUUCGCAACCUUAGGAAGGUCAAGCCUGAUUCGUCAUUCCGGCUUCCGACGGAAGCGGAGAAGAAAUGCAGUAUCUGUCAAGAAGAGUUUGAAGCAAAUGACGAGCUGGGGAGGCUGGGCUGCGGCCACAGCUACCAUGUUUACUGCAUCAAGCAGUGGCUUUCUCAGAAGAACGUUUGCCCGGUUUGCAAGACUGCUGUUACCAAGACCUGA
This 1032-nucleotide ribosomal RNA is filed under the name Triticum aestivum (bread wheat). RNAcentral's name for it is "partial small subunit ribosomal RNA". Lineage: Eukaryota; Viridiplantae; Streptophyta; Magnoliopsida; Poales; Poaceae. The record is from RNAcentral.